This 460-nucleotide ribosomal RNA is filed under the name uncultured bacterium. RNAcentral's name for it is "partial 16S ribosomal RNA". It matches the Rfam family "Bacterial small subunit ribosomal RNA", at positions 338 to 795 of the family's 1533-position model. The record is from RNAcentral.
CCUACGUGUGGCUGCAGUGAGGAAUCUUGGUCAAUGGGCGCGAGCCUGAACCAGCCAAGUAGCGUGAAGUAUGACUGCCCUACGGGUUGUAAACUUCUUUUAUAAAGGAAUAAAGUGAGGCACGUGUGCCUUUUUGUAUGUACUUUAUGAAUAAUGAUCGACUAACUCCUUUCCAGCAGCCGCGGUAAUACGGAGGAUCCGAGCGUUAUCCGGAUUUAUUUUGUUUAAAGUGAACGUAGAUGGGUUGUUAAGACAGUUGUGAAAGUUUGCGGCUCAACCGUAAAAUUUAAAUGGAUACUGGCAGCCUUGAGUACAGUUGAGGUAGGCGGAAUUCGUGGUGUAGCGGUGAAAUGAUUAGAUAUCACGAAGAACUCCGAUUGCGAAGGCAGCUGACUAAACUGCAACUGACAUUGAUGCUCGAAAGUGUGGGUAUCAAACAGGAGUAGAUACCCCAGUAGUC